RNAcentral lists this ribosomal RNA (293 nucleotides) under uncultured bacterium. Its description in RNAcentral is "partial 16S ribosomal RNA". It matches the Rfam family "Bacterial small subunit ribosomal RNA", at positions 775 to 1067 of the family's 1533-position model. The record is from RNAcentral.
GGAUUAGAUACCCUGGUAGUCCACGCCGUAAACGAUGAGAACUAGAUGUCGGGAGGAAUUGCCUCUCGGUGUCGCAGCUAACGCGUUAAGUUCUCCGCCUGGGGAGUACGCCGGCAACGGUAAAACUCAAAGGAAUUGACGGGGACCCGCACAAGCGGUGGAGCAUGUGGUUUAAUUCGAUGCAACGCGAAGAACCUUACCUGCCCUUGACAUCCUCGGAACUUGUCAGAGAUGACUUGGUGCCUUCGGGAACCGAGUGACAGGUGCUGCAUGGCUGUCGUCAGCUCGUGCUG